RNAcentral lists this ribosomal RNA (437 nucleotides) under uncultured bacterium. Its description in RNAcentral is "bacterial SSU rRNA". It matches the Rfam family "Bacterial small subunit ribosomal RNA", at positions 567 to 1006 of the family's 1533-position model. The record is from RNAcentral.
GAGUGUAGGCGGUCUGUUAAGCGUGUUGUGAAAUUUAGGUGCUCAACAUUUAACUUGCAGCGCGAACUGUCAGACUUGAGUACACGCAGCGCAGGCGGAAUUCAUGGUGUAGCGGUGAAAUGCUUAGAUAUCAUGAGGAACUCCGAUCGCGAAGGCAGCCUGCGGGAGUGUUACUGACGCUUAAGCUCGAAGGUGCGGGUAUCGAACAGGAUUAGAUACCCUGGUAGUCCGCACUGUAAACGAUGGAUGCCCGCCGUUGGCGCCCUGCGCCUGCGGCCAAGCGAAAGCAUUAAGCAUCCCACCUGGGGAGUACGCCGGCAACGGUGAAACUCAAAGGAAUUGACGGGGGCCCGCACAAGCGGAGGAACAUGUGGUUUAAUUCGAUGAUACGCGAGGAACCUUACCCGGGCUUGAAUUGCAGUCGCUGCCCACAGAGA